GCUGAUUACAAGCCGGCCAUGUUUGACAAACAGCCCUGCAUGGCCUGCUGCACGGUAGAGUCAAAUCAAACAUCCAGACACAUUUGCAUGUCUAGGAUGGCAGAGAUGGUUAGGAGGAGGGUGAUAGUGAUGAGGAUAAGGAAGAAGAGAAAUUUGCUCUCCCACAUGCCUCUGCAUUAAUAACACAUCACGCUGCACACUCGUGUCCGUCCCUGUAACGUGACAUCCUGAACUCUUCGGUCUCAUCAAAUCCACUUGAGGCUCAGCAGGCCUGACACUCUGCUUUGUGUGUGUGUGUGUGUGUGUGUGUGUGUGUGUGUGUGUGUGUGUGUGUGUGUGUUUGCGUGUAAGGUGGAGGACACAUCGGCCACAAGAGGGCAGCAGAGUACUUCUAUGAUUACACAAGUGUCCUGGUUUGAGAAAGUGUGCUCCCUGGUGGGUAGACUAUCUCUUCCCAGAGGAACAGCUCCAGCCGGUCGGGAUAUUCCCAGCUCAUACACUGCAUCAGUGACACAUCAAACUGUACAUUUGUCACAAUGGUAGAGUUACCAGUGGUCAAAGUCAAGUGGAAACCUGGUAUAUCUAAAAUAUAAUCCUUAAACUAAAGUUCAAGUUGAAAGUUCAACUAAUGUUAAAACCUAAUGUUUUUGCUUUACACAGAUCAGGUCUAGUGACCAUGAUUGUUUUUAGUCAUGAGGCAAUUAUGGCUCCUUACUUUGAAAUGACUAGCAAUACACCCUCUUCCAUCUAGAUUAUGACAUGUCUUACAUGUAAAUGCUACUACCCACACAAAUAUAUGUGUUUACAUAUCCUUGACUACAGUGACAUGCACAGACAAGGCCCAAUUAUUUGGCUACCUUCAUGUCCUCAUAAUCUCUUCGCUUGCAUAUUGGACAUAUUUUUGCACUGCGACGCUACCAGAAUGCUUUGCAUGGCUGAACAAAUCUCCACAAUCUCUCCAUAUGUCAGCCUUUCAGGACUUAAGAAAAACAAGUUUGGUUGUAGCUCAACCACCACACAGUUAUCAGCUUAACAACUGGGAUUUUUAAGUGAAAAAUGGCAAUUUGCUUUUUAUUCAUUUACUUUAACAAUUGUUUAACCAGGCAAGUCACCAAGAACAAAUUCCUAUUUACCUUUGCCAUAUCCUAUUAAUGUGUCCUGCUGCAGCAAUUCCAGUAUGAUGAAUAUGACGGCCAUUACAGUUUCAUAAGAAAUAACAACCAAACAGCAAACAGGCACAGUGGCAUUUUUUAAAAAUGUAUGUAUUUAUUUUCCAUUGCCAUUGUAAAUGCACUUAAAUCAGACAAGCACAAGCUAUGGUCAUCUGGCCCCACCCUUGGGUGCAGUUGAACUCCUCACUGUUACGCAGACUGCUGGCCCAGGGCAAGUACCUUGUUCAUUUGCAUGCCGAGUUUCAUUAGAAACGCACUGAACUC
This is a long non-coding RNA of Myripristis murdjan (pinecone soldierfish), 1436 nucleotides long. RefSeq lists it as uncharacterized. The transcript has 2 exons. NCBI's taxonomy places the organism in Eukaryota, Metazoa, Chordata, Actinopteri, Holocentriformes, Holocentridae. The record is from RefSeq and is a predicted model, not a curated record.